AAAAAGUGUAAGGGUGAGAGGAGAGAGAGAGAGUUUCAAUACGAGCCGUUCAAAAGUGUAUUGAAUGGUCUGGAUGUGCCGAACAGGUACCACAUGGGAUAUAUCCAACCGGCACUGAAAAAUUUAUUGGGGCAAGGAAACUGUGCCGUUUGUGGUUCAUGUAGCAAAAAACCCAAGGCAAGCAAACCAAGGAAAAAUGACAAGGCUGAGAAAUAUGUAUUGCUCCAAACAAAAAAUUUGAAAUCUUCAUAAAAUUGUAUAUCUAUACACAAGAGAAGGAAAGAGGAUUAAAAAAAUUGAACCUGUUUGAAAGUCUCUCUUUUUUUUUUUUAUCAUUUUAUUUUAAAGAGUCACAAUUAAUUUUUGUCUUUAAGGCUCUCAUAAUUAAGUAUUUGCUCUUUAUUUCGGAUCCUAUAGAGCAGAAAAUUGAUUAUGAGAGCCCAAGAGACAAAAAUUAAUUAUGACUUUUUGACCCCGUUCAGUUGUCAGGAAAGUACAGGAAAUGAUGGAAAAAUCAAUUUUCCCAUAUCUUUUGUAGUGUUCAGUUGGCAAAAAAGUAGUGGGAAACUUGUUUUUAGGUUUUCCUACAAGAUUUACUUUCUUGCAAAAGUGAUCCGGCCAAAAACAAAGGAUUUUGCGUCAUGGAAAAAGUUUUCUCCAUUGUGGGGUCAAAAUAAUCGGAGAAUAAGAAUAAAAGUGAUUGACACCAAUACCAAAAAAUACGAAUUAGGUUCUUAGAAAGACACUUUGAGAUUUACGUAAGCAACAACAAUUUCGAUUACUAUGGUGCUUUCUAUGAUAAUUGUUUUGGAAAAAGAUUGGUAGUUUGUUUUUUUUGGAAGUAUUUAUUUAUCUUGUCAUUGGUCUUCAAUUUUGUUUUGUACUAACUAAUUUUCAGUGAGUUUUUGCAUCAGCAACUAAUCAAACACGGUUGUUUAAUAUUUAUUUAUUUAGUUAUCAUCUACUUAUUUUUUAAACUUUAUUUGUACGGUUGAUUAUUAGAGAAUGUCAAUUUAAAUGAGGGAUUUGUAUGACCAUUCAAAAUAUAGCAAAUUGAAUAAAGAAUUACAAAUUGAUUUUUUUAUUUCAUGUUAAGGCUUUGCAUUAGAUAAAAUACAUUUUCCGUAUGUGUCAAUUUUUGAAAUAUGACAGCCUAUUAUUUAGCUCUCAAAGUUACUUUUAUUUAAAAUUCGCCAUGAAAAUAAAAAUAAAGAAGUUUCUCAUAAGUGUCUUUUCUCUGUAAAUGAACCACUAAACUUUAGUUUUCCUGCAAAAAAAAUUGUCAAAUAAACACUCACAGGAAAAUAGAUUUUUUUUUCUUUUAUUUCACUUUACUUAACUUUUCUUGAGAAUAACUUUCCGGUACAAUAUUCCUGACAACUGAACGGAGCCUUUAGGAUAAAAUGAUAAAAGAAUAAGAUCUUUACACCGGUUCAAACGGAUUGAAAAUUGGAACACUUAAGGAAACUUUGAGAGCAGUGUGGGAACUUUGUGCGGGGACUGGUCCGUUAUGUUGUUAUGAAAGAUAUACUUUUUCUUGGUAUUUUGUUGAGUUCAUACUCUAUAGUGGGUGAGCAAGAGCACUGACCGUAAAAACGUUUUUAACAAAAAUUCAUAAACUACUAAAAUUUGCUAAAACGAGAAUUGAGAGUGCGAUCACAGAUCCUAAUAAGGAGUGAGCACAUGUGCCCACAUCACAUACAUUAAACUGCUCGUGUGUGAGGAGUUAUAGUUUGAAGUUGUGUUUCUUGACUCUUUAAUUAAUUUUCUUUUUUUGGUAAACAUUUUUUGAUUAAGCUGUGUUUUUGUAAACUCAUAAGUUUGAAAUUUAUUUUAAUAUUAUUUAUUUUUCGUAACUUUUUGUUUAGCUUUUCGUCGUAAUUUUGUGAGUUAAUCGUUCUUCUCGACAGGAAGAAUCGAAAAAGUAUAAAAAUAUAAACAAACCGAUGUUGAAAAAAAUACAAACAAUACAGCUGUUUGAUACUUUUUUCAUCUUCAGUGAAUUUUUGUUUUGCGUUCCAUCAUAAUUUUUAUACUUUUCGACUAUUCUCGUUGAGACAGAUGAUUAAUUCAAAAAAUAUGAGACAAAUUUGACAAAAAUUAAAAAAAAAAAAACAGAACACAUAAAACGAUAAAAAAAUAAGUUUACAAGAAUAGAAUUUAUGGACUAUAGGAACAUUACCCGGGUAAACAAGAGCAUCGCCGACCGGAAUUCUCCCCGGGAUAAUCAUAAUUACACAUCGCGUUAGGCCCACAAACUCCAUGGAUCUUGCACGGCUGACUUAUGGCUUGCCAAGAAACAUUCCAAAUUCUCUUCCCCUCAUCCAAACUAUACAAUCUCACAUUCCCAUCCACAUCCAUUCUCAAUCUUCUCCAACCCUCAAUCCCAUAAUCCGAAGCCUUAAACUCAAAAUCAUCACUUGAUCGGAAAUACCCAGAUGAAUUGAACGCCGCAGUUCGACUGUUAUUAUAGCUGGUCCGACCCGCCUCCCAGCUGAUCAACCACGGGUCGGGCCAGUACAUGCUGGAAGUCUCCGCGCCGUCAAAUAGUAAACGGAGGACGUUAUCGUGGUCGAAAAACAGGGCGUAAAAUCCAGAUGAGAAAUUUGUAUGGCUUCGAGAGGAGACGAGUUUUGAAUUUCGGGUUAUGGGUUGGUUUGGAAGAAGGGUGUCUGUCGGUGAAUCAAAACUUUCCCAGACCUUCAUAGAACCACUUCGAUUUCGAAGAACGAGGUUACCCGUAUUUAGAAGUUGUAAAUAAAGUGGGGAAAUUGAUUUGGUGUUUGUGGACCAAACUUCGAAUUGGGCGGCAUCGGUCAGUAUGAGGUUGCCGGAUUUAAGGAGAGAGAGUUUGGAACGUUCUCCAUUGACGGGUCGGUCGCGAUUGGCCAUCCAAACGACAGUGAGAUCACCGUCGGAUGUGCGUUUAGUGAACCAUAUGGAAAAGCAAUAGGCAUUUUCGCCGAUGGAGUGGAAGCCGGCGGAGAAGAUUCCGUUUGCUGAAAUUAAGACGUCGGAAAAAGAGAGGAAUGAGGAUGCGGAUAACGUAUCAUGUGAUGAUGAGAUUGAAAACAAAGGUGGUAGAGAUGAUAUGAGUAGGGAGAUGAAGAGGAUUAGAAUUGGGGUAUCCAUUAACUGUUAAGUGGAAUUUAUUAUUUGUAGGAUUUAAAGGGGUGUAAUAUGUUGGUUUGUACUCCGCUAGUUUUUAGUGAGAUU
Rhododendron vialii is the source of this 3216-nucleotide long non-coding RNA. RefSeq lists it as uncharacterized. The record is from RefSeq and is a predicted model, not a curated record. The transcript has 2 exons. NCBI's taxonomy places the organism in Eukaryota, Viridiplantae, Streptophyta, Magnoliopsida, Ericales, Ericaceae.